GGUUUCACCAAACCCUUCCCUUGGGGAGGCCGCGCCCUAUGCACGUGGCCCCACACUUCCGCUUAAAGAGAGCAGAGGGGCUCCGCGCCGGGGGGAUAAGCGGGACCCUUACAGCUUUGUAAUUGGAAGACCACCCUAAUCUGUUCUGAACUUGCAUGAAAAUGGAAGAAACACCUGAUAUUACGCCUCUCCACGCUUCAGUUUCUUCAGCAGUACUCCAGAGACGAUGAGAGUGAGCUGUAUACUUCUGUUUGCUUACGAUUUUUCAAAUACCCAAGAGCUGUUUAUCUGAAAAUGAAAUGUGAAAAAGUAAAGCACCCUAGAAAUGAUUUGUAAGUGGAAAAAACUGAAAUCUCUACAGCCAGUGUAAGCCUGCCAACCUUUGCCUCCAUUGAGUGCCCAGGAGAAUCAAAUGGAUCUGAUCCAGGCUUACAGUCAUAUCUUGAUUCAUCAUCUCCUCUCUUUCAAGAAAUAGUUUCCUACUACUAUUUAAGCAAAUCUUUGCAGAUUCGUGCUGGGUUAUCUCGUGUGCCAAGAGGAUUCUUGAUGCUGUGCAGUAAAUUGCUAAGGCCACCCAAAGCAGGCUGUUGGCUAGGGGAGACCAGCAGGAAGUCUUUGCUAAUAAGCUAGUCUACACAUAUUUGCUUGGCCAAAGAGGAAACGGAUGGCUAAGGUCCUGGCAACCCGGAAAGUCCUGGUUGACCUUCAUGGCCCUAACAGAGGACAAGUAAACAGGAGAAGAAAAGGCAAAGAUCUUUUCAGAAACUACAAAGUAGAAAAUUUGACUUCAGAUAAUAAUAAGUGCAAAUAAAAACACCACAGUAUGCUAUGGAGCUCUGGGCACGUCAGAAGAAAGAAAACCAGCAUAAAAAGACGUAAAAAAAUAUUACCUUCUUCCCUGGAUGACCUCUUUGUCCUGGCAGUCCCACAGUUCCUUCAGGUCCCUGAAUAUCAAGUAUGAAAAAGGAAAUACAUUGUUAAAGAUAGGACUAGAAAGAAUGUUUAAAUAGUUAUAUCACAUAAUCACUGAAUUGAACACUAAGUAAAAACAAGGGUUACUUCUUAACAAUAUUAUGUUUGUAUAAUUAUUUAAAAAGAGGUCAUGAUGAUUUAGAAGCCCAGCUGUUACUAAUGAGUAAAGUUCACAUAAACAAACUGGCCAAGAUAGACCAAAUUAAACUGUUCUUAACUACAGAGGGAAAACAACUUGGUUUCAGUACACCCAUUGAAUUAGCGAGAAUGUAAUUAAAGUUAACCCAAAUGCAUCCAUUUCAGCAGUUCUAUGAGCUAGUAUGGGUUCAACAUCUUGUUGAAUGUAUAGUACUAUAACAUAUAUCUAAUAUACUGUCAAGGAGAAUCUUAAAAUCUCAAUGAAGUGUAAGAUUAAGCAAAUAUUAUUUGAUCUGUGGAAAAAGGAGAGAGGGGAAAUACAUGGAGAGAAAAGAGAUAGUCAUAUCAAACUGUUUAAAACAAUAUUUUCACUUCAAUAUGUAUUUUGUUUAGACAAAAGUAGACUAAAAGUUUUCAAUAAACACUUUAUUAAAGUAAGAAGUGGUUAAAAUAUUUUAAAUGUCAUGUGAAUUUGCAGGUCAACAAUGGUUAGGCUUAAAUGAGAUCCAUAGUAAGCCAGACUGCAAGUUCUAAAAUAGCUAAUAAUUAAUCAUAGCAUUCCUUGCAUUAGUUGGAAAUGAAAAUGGAAAUUUCAAAUUUGUGUCCCAAAGCUUGGCAAACUGCAAAAAUGAUGCAGACAAGAAAUAAAUUGUGGUUUACCACUGUGCUACGGAGGCUCUUGAUAAAUAUUUGUUGAACGAAUAAACAGAUACCUAAGGAAAUGAGUCAUGCCCUGUGCUCCUGAGCAAAUGUUCUUCUAGCCUCAGAAAGUCCGCUCAAUUUAGAGGCCAAAGUGGUUAAGUUCUACUGCUGUAGUUCUAGCUGAAUCCAGAGGUUGAAAUGAUAGUUGCACUAACAUGAGACUUCUUUGUGGUUAACGUGGACUUUUUAAGAGAGGCUGAUUAACAUUCAUAGAUGUUAACGAUAUGAGCAUUUAAGUCAGACAGCUGUAGUUUCAUGUUCUGGCUCUGUCACCUAAUGGCUAUAUGACCAUAAGUAGACUAUUUGACUUCUAAAGUCCUCAGUUUCCUGUUAUAUAGCAGGGAUAUAUUAAUACUUCUUCAAAGGGUUACUAAGAUUGAAUGAGAUAAUGCAUUCAAAGCUUAGAAAGGAAUAGACUUAUACUGAAGAGCUCAAUAAAUGUCAAUUCUCACUAAUUUCUGUUGCCUUUUCAAAGUGCGUUAUGUAAUAUUUAAAUAUAUAUAAAUAUAUAUAGAAGAUAUUAAAACGUUUAAUGAGCACCCAUGUACCUACCACCCACUUUAAGAAACAGAAGCUACA
This is a long non-coding RNA of Physeter macrocephalus (sperm whale), 2391 nucleotides long. RefSeq lists it as uncharacterized. The record is from RefSeq and is a predicted model, not a curated record. The transcript has 9 exons. NCBI's taxonomy places the organism in Eukaryota, Metazoa, Chordata, Mammalia, Artiodactyla, Physeteridae.